Molecule: ribosomal RNA, 487 nt
Filed under: Desmopachria portmanni
Lineage: Eukaryota; Metazoa; Arthropoda; Insecta; Coleoptera; Dytiscidae
Description: partial 16S ribosomal RNA
Source: RNAcentral
GUCCUUUAGAAAAUAAUUUAAGGUCUAACCUGCCCAUUGAUUAGUUAAAAGGCCGCAGUAAUUUGACUGUGCAAAGGUAGCAUAAUCAUUAGUUUUUUAAUUAAAAGCUUGUAUGAAUGGUUGGACGAGAUAAAUUCUGUCUCUUAAUAAAAUUUAGAAUUUAAUUUUUAAGUUAAAAAGCUUAAAUAUUUAUAAAAGACGAGAAGACCCUAUAGAUUUUUAUUUAAAUUUAUUUAAUUUAUAUAAAGAUUAAAAAAUAUAUUAAGUUUUUUUUAAAAUUUUAUUGGGGUAAUAAAAAGAUUAAAAAAAUUCUUUUAUAAGUUGUACAAAAAUUAUUGAAUAAUUGAUCCAAAAUUUUUGAUUAUAAGAUUAAAUUACCUUAGGGAUAACAGCGUAAUUUUUUUGGAGAGUUCUUAUCGAUAAAAAAGUUUGCGACCUCGAUGUUGGAUUAAAAAUUAUUUUGGGUGUAGAAGUCAAAUUAUUGGUC